AAUUCACAGUGAACAGGGUUUUUCCCCACUGGGUGCUUCAUUGUCUCACCAGUUCACUUGAACCUGUUUCAUUAUUUUUACACCCUUACGAAACGCUCGCAGCAAUAACUGCAACAGUAAAAAGAGAAGAAAGGAAGUAUUUAGUAAUAUUAAGAGAGAGGCAAGUUGGGGACAAUGCAUCUUGCAUUAUUUGCUGCUGCAAAGGGAAGAAAAAGACUGAGCCAAGAGAAUUUCUUACAUUCCUCAUGUAUCUAGAGUGACACCGUCCCUGUGAAGGUCACAGCGGACGGACACAGUGAGGUCAUGGUGGGGGGGGGCUGACUUUCUGCUCUAAACCUCCUUGAUCUUUAUAUAUUCUCUUUAGAUGGCUUAAUGUUAAUGCUUGGAGAACUGAGGAAUAUGUUAGAAGGGGGCCAAAGGCCCAUGUGAUUCCAGGUGGAUGUACCUGAAAUUCCCUGGCACUCGGUGAACAAUUUUCCAGGAUAUAGUUUGGUGGAAGCCUACUAGUCGUAAUGGUAACAGGUAUUAGCGGGAGAAAUUAUUUAUCUCUGUUUUUGAUCUCAUACUUAAUAUUGCCAUUGUGACCAUUACAGUGUUUCGUGGCUGUUACCCCACCCCCGUGUGAUAAGAGCACUGAGAACACAAAGAUAAAUGGCCCACAGCCUCGCUAAAGAGCCGUUCUUUCCAGGUGUCCAUGGAUCCGUGUCCUUGGGUGGAAUUCAGGGGCUUUGGGAACUUGAAUGGAGAAAAGAUCACAUUUUCAGUAACCUCUAACUGCAACGCAGCAUUUCCCUUAGAGAGAAAUGGUGAUGGGAAGCACAGAGGUAUCAGCCGCACCUGUGACUGUCACCAGGCGCACGCGUAUUUUCAUAUUGUAUCUCCUAUCACAGCUGUUUGCCGCUCUCUUGAAAUAUUGCGUCUACAUGUCACUACUUUGAAAUAACGGCUGUUGUUCGGCCUACCACUGGAUAUCGUCAUUUCACACCCCAGUAAAAAGGCACAUGUGUUCUUACAUCAAAUACAGGUUUUGCUAGUUGGCCGCCCGUAUUUCAUAAUAUCGUUGACUGCAUAUGCCUGCGUAUCUUACCUUAUUCUGAGAAGGAUUCACAAGGCUGCCAAAGGUGGCCGAGGUACCAAACGUCAUUGAGAACCCCGUUAACUGUACAGUUUCGGGGGGAGCUGCGAAGCCUAAACAUAAACGUCAGUCCAAAGUGGUGAAUGGCAGCCAGGGAUACACCCAGCAGCAUAGGAACCCAAGGAGGGGAUUGACUCAGCUUUGGAGAUUCCUGAGCUGCAUCUGGAAUGAAGCCUGAAGAGGAGGAGAGAGAAGCGGGAGGUCACUUGCCGAGAGGGACCUGAAGGAGCACGGGGCCCCGAAGCCACCAGGCCUCUGUGGAAGUGAGGAGUACCGAGUGUGAAAAGCUUCCUUGCUGUGCUGAGUCCUGGGGGUUCAAGAAUGAAUCAGCGACAGUCUACAUGAUGCCAACAUCCAGGUUGACUGCUUUCAGUUGAAUUCAACAACCAAAUGCCUGUUUUGUGCAAGGCUCUUUUCCAGGCACCGAGGAAGCAGCAAGCUGGAUAAAUCCUGGAGGUUCCUCCAGCCGGUGGGACAAAAGAACCAAAUGUUCUGUUUUUUUACAAAUUGAAGGUUCUGGACUUCAGUGGGAGAAGUAAGUGCAGAUGUGAAAAUUAGCAAGAGAACUGGAAUUAGCAGUGGAGCUGGAAGAUGGGACUGAAUUGUUCUGAUGACACGAUAAAACAUGAACGGAUGAGGGGUUGUUUCUUAAGAAUGAGCAAAGAAAGUAGUUUUUUGAGAUGGAAUCUACUCCUGGUGAAGAUGCCCUGAAGAUUGUUGAAAUGACAGCAAACGAUUUAGAAUUUACAUGAACUUAGUUGAGAAAGCAGAAACAGGGCUUGAGAGGAUGGACUCCAAUUUUGAAAGAAGUGUUAGUGGGGGGAAAAUGCAGUCAAACAGUAUCACAUGCUAUUCAGAGAAAUCAUCAUGAGUGGCGGAGUCAAACCAUGUGGCAGACUUUACUGUCUUAUUUUAAGAAAUUGCCACGGCCACCCCACCUUCAGCACCCCCCACCCAGAUCAGUCAGCAGCCACCCACACUGAGGCGAGACCCUCCACCAGCAAAAAGAUGAUGUCUCUCCAAAAGCUCAGAUGAUGGGCUCUAGACCCAAACUGCAGUAUCUCUGAGGUAUGCCUGUAUCUUCCAGACGAGCAAGCUGGAUUUGGGCUACAAAACAAUGGAGGAAAUAAGGAGUAAGGUGAAUGGUGCUUAUUAUUCUUGCAUACAAGCGUCCAUCCAUCCCACUAACACUGAGGAGACACCACUUAUCCGUCAGUCAUUGCAAGAGGAAGAAGAGUCAAACAAAAUUCCCUGCCUCCAGAAGUCCAAAGUUGGUGUUGGAGAGAGAGAUACUAAGUACAGUUUCAGAGACACAUGCUAAUAAAAUCUCACCUGUUA
Molecule: long non-coding RNA, 2473 nt
Organism: Ailuropoda melanoleuca (giant panda)
Lineage: Eukaryota; Metazoa; Chordata; Mammalia; Carnivora; Ursidae
Exons: 4
Source: RefSeq, a predicted model, not a curated record